This 441-nucleotide ribosomal RNA is filed under the name uncultured bacterium. RNAcentral's name for it is "partial 16S ribosomal RNA". It matches the Rfam family "Bacterial small subunit ribosomal RNA", at positions 338 to 795 of the family's 1533-position model. The record is from RNAcentral.
CCUACGGGCGGCAGCAGUGGGGAAUAUUGGGCAAUGGGCGCAAGCCUGACCCAGCGACGCCGCGUGAGGGAAGACGGUCUUCGGAUUGUAAACCUCUUUCAGCAGGGAAGACAAAAGGACGAUACCUGCAGAAGAAGCCACGGCUAACUACGUGCCAGCAGCCGCGGUAAUACGUAGGUGGCAAGCGUUAUCCGGAAUUAUUGGGUUUAAAGGGUGCGUAGGCGGUCCGGAAAGUCAGCGGUAAAAGCCCGGGGCUCAACCCCGGCGAGCCGUUGAAACUGUCGGACUAGAGACGGCGAGAAGUACGCGGAAUGCGCGGUGUAGCGGUGAAAUGCAUAGAUAUCGCGCAGAACUCCGAUUGCGAAGGCAGCGUACCGGCGCCGGACUGACGCUGAGGCACGAAAGCGUGGGUAUCGAACAGGAUUAGAUACCCCAGUAGUC